RNAcentral lists this long non-coding RNA (221 nucleotides) under Linum usitatissimum (flax). RNAcentral's name for it is "long non-coding RNA (LUSI_LNC000235)". The record is from RNAcentral. Lineage: Eukaryota; Viridiplantae; Streptophyta; Magnoliopsida; Malpighiales; Linaceae.
UGGCUGUUGUGGCGGAUGAAGCUAUUUGGGAGAGGCAAGAAGGGUGGAGGACGCCGACAUCAAGCGAUCACGUAAUACGGAGCUGUCCACCGACGCCGCCAAGGAGGAGGAGGGGGGAGCACGUGUUUGUCGGCGGCGGAACAGAGAAGAGGAGGAAACUGUUCCAUGAGACGACGACAACAACUGCGUCGUUUUUCGAGGCGGCGAAUCGGGAAGAGGUA